UGGGGAAUAUUGGACAAUGGGGGCAACCCUGAUCCAGCAAUGCCGCGUGUGUGAAGAAGGCCUUCGGGUUGUAAAGCACUUUUAUCCGGAACGAAACGCGCUUGGUGAAUAGCCAGGCGAACUGACGGUACCGGAGGAAUAAGCACCGGCUAACUUCGUGCCAGCAGCCGCGGUAAUACGAAGGGUGCAAGCGUUACUCGGAAUUACUGGGCGUAAAGCGUGUGCAGGUGGUUCGUUAAGUCUGCUGUGAAAUCCCCGGGCUCAACCUGGGAAUGGCAGUGGAUACUGGCGAGCUAGAGUGCGGUAGAGGGUAGUGGAAUUCCCGGUGUAGCGGUGAAAUGCGUAGAGAUCGGGAGGAACACCAGUGGCGAAGGCGGCUACCUGGACCAGCACUGACACUCAUACACGAAAGCGUGGGGAGCAAACAGGAUUAGAUACCCCCGUAGUCC
RNAcentral lists this ribosomal RNA (449 nucleotides) under uncultured bacterium. RNAcentral describes it as "bacterial SSU rRNA". It matches the Rfam family "Bacterial small subunit ribosomal RNA", at positions 355 to 796 of the family's 1533-position model. The record is from RNAcentral.